Molecule: long non-coding RNA, 1637 nt
Organism: Neogale vison (American mink)
Lineage: Eukaryota; Metazoa; Chordata; Mammalia; Carnivora; Mustelidae
Exons: 2
Source: RefSeq, a predicted model, not a curated record
AUACUGUUUUUCUGAAAAUAAAUAAAUUGGAAAAAAAAAAUGAAUUGAGAGUAAAAAUGACUUAUCAAACAGGUAUUUACUAAGAAAAGAAAUUUCCUCUUGGUUUUUAGUAAUCCCAAGUCUAGAAGCCUUUAGUUCCUUGGAAAGUAUAUAAUCUUAAAAAUGGUUUAAUAUCAUAAAUUCAGAUCGAUACUAGGGAUACUAGUUCCGUAUCUUCCUCGCUGCUUUCUACCUUUUGUAAAGGUAACAGUUUUCCUAUUAUCUUGUUAAGUUAGAUAGAAACUUUUAUAGGAACAUUUACAUUGUGACCUUCAUGACAGAAUUUCCAGUGUUGGUGUACGGUCAUUCUUAUAGAUCCACAAAGUAUUAUUUUAAGGGUAUUUCUUUCCUACUUGUAAUGAUUUACUAUCUCUUCUGUUCUUGCUUCUACAAGUGUGGUCCCAGGAACCAAGAGAAUCAGCCUUUUGGGUUUUUGGCAGUGCACAAUCUCUGAACACAGCUGACCAAAUGAAUCUGAAUGCUCAUUUUAACACAAUCCCAGGGGAUUUGAAUGAUGUGCAUUAUGUUGAGAAUCACUGAUAAGAGAAAUUUCACCCUUUUAAGGUCAUUUUGUGGGCGAAGUGCUUUUAAAGACAUAGGAGAAACAAGCCAGAAAACAAACUCAUUUCAUUUGUGAAUUUAUUACUCCAUAUAAACAACUUAAGAAUGUAUGAGUAAACAGCUUAUGGAUGUAGGAGUAAUCCUGACAUUUGCCAUUAUGCCUCAUGGAGUUUUCUUUAUCUGGAAUAAUGCAGACUUCCAUUUUCAUUCAGGUGUUUUUUUGUUGUUGUUGUUUUUUAUUAAGAUGUAUACCUACCCCUUCAUGUGGUCUUGCCAUGGAAUGUAGUAUGGUGUAGUAACCCACAAAUACAGAAUAACCAACAUACUUCCAACUCCCUAUAAAUGGGACACAUUAGGGAUUGUUUUUACCACCCCAUGUGGCCUGCAAUUUUGGUUUAGUCCCCACGAUAAGGAGCUCAUCAUGGAAUUUGGCAUUGUUGUGAGAAAGAUCAUGUUUUACUAAAGCCAUAUAUUGUAUUUUUUAGCCCAAAGAAAGCAAAGAAUGGCAGAUAAGAGCAAGGCAGAGUGUGCUGUAUAGUAAUGGAAAAUUACUUUCUUCCAAGUUAAACUGAUGCCCAGUAUUAGGGUUAGGAUUCCAGUUGGGGUCCUUGGGAGCUCUGGGUGUUGGCAGAGGACUAUUUCCCGAUUUUAAUUUGGUCCUUAUUUGAUUGUUUACUCAUUGUAAUUACAAUUUUCUGUCUUACUAGUAAUGCUCUUCUGUACUUGGAGGAAGAUGUAAGGCUUAGAAAUCCCAGAUCUGGUCUGAAAGGAGCAUUAUCUGCAAGUCAGCACUGGAUGAAGGAAAGCAGUGUGGGUUCUAAUCAGUGGUUCUCUGCAUUUACUUACCAACCAACUUGGUUGGUAACCAACUUUAUGUACUUACCAACUUUACUAACUUAAUUACCAACACUUGGACCAAUAAAGCUUUAAAAACUUAACAGUUUUAAGGGUUUACAUAGUUUUAGGCUAUGAAAAUUAACUGCAUAAAAUAUUAAGAUUUUCCAAAUUCUUACUUCAUAAAUCACUUUUUGAUAAUG